GGGGACGUAUCGAUCGACAGAUAAUAGCUCUUUUAAAUGGCAAGCCGAUGAUAGUACAAAAAUCGUAAAACUGUACUAAAAAUAACUGCUAAUGAAUCUAGCACAGAGCUUGAAGCGAUUGAGGCAUCUUAUAUGAAUCAGCGCUUCGCUCGACUCUACGCUUAAUCUUUUUAAGCCACGAGUCCAUCGAUUAUUCUUUCUCCCGAUGAAGAAUAAUUCGGUGUAAACAUGAGUCGGGACGACAGAAGUUAAUCGGUCAAUUAACUUCGGAGGAUUCUGACUAAAACUGUUGUGAUAAGUCUUUGUCAGUUAAGACCACACUUUUAAUUAAUUGACUAAGCUUGUAGAAAUUUAAAGGAAUUAUGUCUGGACGAGAGUUCACUACUCUCCGUCUCCACCA
Molecule: non-coding RNA, 400 nt
Organism: Candidatus Gottesmanbacteria bacterium
Lineage: Bacteria; Candidatus Gottesmaniibacteriota
Source: Rfam